UUUCUUGCGCCGGCAUGAACGGAUCACAUUGAUAAAGUGAAAUAUGAAGGCUCAACCCUUUCAAGGAUA
Molecule: transfer RNA, 69 nt
Filed under: Spathoderma clenchi
Lineage: Eukaryota; Metazoa; Mollusca; Caudofoveata; Chaetodermatida; Prochaetodermatidae
Description: tRNA-Ile
Source: RNAcentral